CGCUGUUCUCAUCUUUUGAGGUGUUUUUUGUUCGUAACUUGGUUAAAAGCGACUUAUUUUAAGUAGGAUUUAGUUGAGAGCCGGUACGUUGGCAACUCAUAUCUCUUCUUGGAUUAUUCUAUAAAACAAUUUGUGUGUAUCAACAACUCCACGAUGAGAUCCUAAGCAAAAUGAUCUCAAUAUUCGGGUUUGUUUGAUCUUUAAUUGAAAAUAAUCGCAUUUAUACCCUGUAUAUUUAACCAUACAAGAAAUUUCGGAUACUUAUUUUAUUACUAGUAGCUGUAAAAGCUCAUACCUAUUUUAUAUGCAUGCGGUCCAACAAUUUUGGUGAGCUAUUAUUAAGCCACUUUAGGCGUUCAACCGGCGAGUGCUUAAUUACUAUUCAUAUUGUAUAAUUUAACGAACGCACUUAAAAAACACGCAUGCAUCUCCACAUACGCACCAAAAA
Long non-coding RNA from Dalotia coriaria, 448 nucleotides. RefSeq lists it as uncharacterized. The transcript is spliced from 3 exons. The record is from RefSeq and is a predicted model, not a curated record. NCBI's taxonomy places the organism in Eukaryota, Metazoa, Arthropoda, Insecta, Coleoptera, Staphylinidae.